Molecule: long non-coding RNA, 635 nt
Organism: Hyla sarda
Lineage: Eukaryota; Metazoa; Chordata; Amphibia; Anura; Hylidae
Exons: 5
Source: RefSeq, a predicted model, not a curated record
GUCCUGGUGGGCGGAGCUUUAUUGAGGCAAGCGCUGUGAAAAGAGCGGGAACUGAAAGGACGGUGCAUGAAGAGGGAGUGGCGAGCUGUAGUGUCUUUCAUAAGGGCCGUGACUGUACAGUAUGGAGGCUGAAUUCUCAUCAGUCCCGGUUUGAGGAUUUGAAGUCCAUCUCCUGUCAAUCUGCAAAACAUAAAUCGUAAUAAGGUCAUGAAAACCAUGAAGGCAGAAGUAGGAUGCAAUGAACCUUACAUUUUGGAAAUCUGGUCUAUGGAAGAGAAAAAGAAAGCAUUGAAGAAGGUUACGUGCCCGGCCAGUGAGAUAAAAUAGAACAUUGGACAACAAUGAACCAGAUCCGUCACAUUCACACAAAUUGGAAACAUUAGUGGGCAUACUCUGUGAACUUUUCAGAGGUCAUUCUGCAGGGAGGGGAGGCUGAGCUCAGAGCUUCAGCUAUUGUCUUAUCUAUACUCUAGUGUAACCUUUCACUGUGCUCUUGUCUGUGAUAAGGAGGUGACUGCUGGGAAGUGAUCUGUACAGAACAGUAAGUCUCAGCUUAGUUUUAGGCCUAGUGGCCAGAAUGGAAACUGCAAGACUUCCAGAUUAUUUUAAAAUAUACAGUGGGGCAAAAAAGUAUU